Parasteatoda tepidariorum (common house spider) is the source of this 4857-nucleotide long non-coding RNA. The record is from RefSeq and is a predicted model, not a curated record. Lineage: Eukaryota; Metazoa; Arthropoda; Arachnida; Araneae; Theridiidae.
UUUAAAUGACUUAUUUAAGCCUAAUUGCGUUCGUAAUAUCACCUAAAUCUAAUUAGUUAUAAUUUUUAAUCAUAUAAAAUGAAUCGUAUGUUUCUUAAAAAUUUAUUUUGUCUCACGAGUUUAAUUAAAAUUAUUCAAUACGCUUAUCUGUAUGUGUCAGUGGUAUACUUUGCAAUUUGAAUGGUUUUUCGAUAACAGCUCAUUCGUAAUAUCAUCCUAAACCUAGUUAGUUAUAAAUGUUAAUAACUUUAUCCGUUUUUAAUCGAAUAUUGAAAAUGAAUUGUAUGUUUCUUGAAAAUUCAUUUUGUCUCAUGGGAUAAAUAAAAUCAUUCCUUCUCUGUAUGUGUCACUUUUCAAUUUGAAUGGUUUUCCGAUAACAGCUGCUUCCUCUAACCGACCCUUAAAAACGUUCUCAUUGAAUGCCGGGAUCUAUAAAAGCGGCUUUAAAUAGGCAUUCAUAAAUUAAGGGUAAAAAGAAUUUAUGUUUCUGAGGAUUGUUGGUUCAUCCCUUCGAAGAAGAGAAAAAGGGGGAGAAUGUCUGUUUUCAUGUCUCCUUUGCAAUAUGACACUUGGCAUAAUAAGCCUUCUCACGUGACGAUGUUCCAGUUGCUGUUUCGUCUCUGAAUUUUGUAGCUUCUAUCCUUUCAACUACUCAAACAGAAACGCAUCUGUGUUCAAUGCCUCACUUUGGAUUCUCUGCAAAAUUCUAUCAAUGAAAUCCUUGUUGCUCUGCUUUUUCACGGAAGUGAUAGGAUCUGCCUUUACAAAACAAGGCUGGCUGCCUUUACAAAACAAGGCUGGAAAAAGCUAUCGAGGAUGAAUCAUCGCUCGCAAAUCAAGAGUUGAAGGCGUUAUCAAACUAAGGAUAAUCAGGAAACAUCAAUAAACAGACAACAAGACUGAAAGACUGAACAAGACUGGGAAAGACUGAAACAAGAACAAUGAAGAGGAAUUGUCGAUUUCAAGAGGAAUCUUUCUACAUUUCUACAUUCUUUUAUGGUCUAAGUUACUACACCUGUCAUCAUUUUAAAAAGUUCUUCGUGGAUAUAGUGAAAGAAAAUGUUACCUAUGUUUUGUGGAAUAUAAUUUGUGGAAUUCAAAAGAUUAUCUCUGAAAUUAGGAAUUAGUUCUGAAAAAGUGUCAUCAACAGGAUUGCAACAUAUGAUCUCAUGAUCUCGUUAAUAUUCUUCUGGAAAAAAGAAUGAAAACUGACCAUUCAGAUGCUGCAGUAUCAUUGAAUCUAGACCCAGAAUCUGAAGUUAGCUUGAUGACGAACUAUAAAAAUAUAAGUAUACUUUUAAUUUAAAAAAUAUGUAGUAAGAAAAAUUUUAUAGUUAUUCAUUUAGAUUCAUAAUACAUACCUAAUACUUAAAUUAACAUAAAUGGGUAAUUUUUUCUUAAUUAAAAAUAUUGGAGCGAUAUAUUUAUCUUCUUUAUAUCUUUAUAUCGUCUACUCUUUUGCACCACAAAAUGACAGUAGAUAAGCAAGGAGGGUAGCUAGAAUCAGAAAGGCAAAAGUAAUAGAUAAAACAAUAAAUUAAUUUAUUUUUACUAAUCUAAUUAUCCUAUCGAGGAAUAUUUGGUAAAUACAAGAAAACUACCUUCAAAGAAAAAAGAAUAUUUGUGAAUCCUUUCUCUGGCAUCAUAUCGCUGCAUAAUUAUAUAAUCUGCAUUACGCUAAUUAAGUACAUUAAAGGCACAAAACACAUGGAAUGAUUUAUUUCCAUCUUAAACAAAAGAUAUAACUUAUAAACCUCAUUCAUAACACCUCAGAAAUUAAAGAUACAAAAGAGAUUUUAAUUGUUGAAAGAUUCACAAAUAAUUUGCAGCGCUUUUGUACCUUCAAAGCAAUAUAAUUCAACACAAUCUACUGUGAGUUCGUAACUUUUAUCUAUUACUGUUAGGUUAAGUUUUGUCCUUCUCUCGCCAGUGCACUAUGCUGAUUUUAAAAAAAGGACCCAAAAUAUCAAUAUUUUUUUAAUAUCAAUAUUUUGGGAUUGACUGAUUAUAUCAGAAAAAUGAAUACACGGUAUCGCCUAAAGGCAUACUGUAUAAAAAGGUACACAAAUAAAAAUAAUCCUGGACAAAAUAUCCGAUAUAAAACCAAUAUAUGAGAAAACAAAAAUAGGCACAUACCCUAAAUAGGGAAACUGGUCACUUGUCCAACGCAACAGCUGACCGACAGUCAGAGAAAAACAUGUCCAAUAAAGUGGACCAUAACCUCCAACAGCUACGCAACUCUCACAUCAGUGUUUCAUACUAUUUCGGUCCAAGGGCGUCCCAUACGUUUUUGAAGGGGUAGGAGAACAAAGCAGAUCACACCAAUCAUUAAAUAUCCUUCUAUUGGAGAUAUUCGUCCGCCAAAUGAGAGGACGGGCAUUAUCACCUUGUACUGCUGAUCUGUAAGAGUACCUCUAUCGGACAUACGAAAGUCUGCCAUGAUGCCUGCUCAUACCACCUCGAUCAUAGUGGUCCUUUUUGAUAUUGUUAGAGAGCCGAUAUCGACUCCCGGGUUCUCUUCAGAUGAGAACGUGUCUCUAAUUGCUGUCCAGACAGACUCAUCACUGAAGAGCCCCAAUCAUCCUCUGUCCAAGACAAGUGUUCUUGGCACCAUACUUUCUGUCGUUCACACUCAGAGAGAUGCAGACUACAGGGCUAUAUUAAAUAUUUGUGUGACAUCCAUUAAAAGGAUGUUAUAUUGGUUGAGAGAUAGUUUUGUUGUUGUUUUGAACCUAUCUCUUUUGGCUAGAAGUCUCAAAUAACGACCCGCAUUGUUGCCCUUUUUGUGGUGGACUACUGUUUCUGUCUCUGUCAACACCAAUUUUCUCGAUAUCCCAAAGUCCCUUCAACAGAUAGAUUUGAUUGGUCCGCUUCGAGUCUUCCAACUGUCCGCCAUCUUGACGACGAAUGUUAACAGGGAUUGGACUAAACUACAUUGUUUCAAAACGCCCUUACUGUAUAAGUUUCAGUGAGAAAAUGUGGUACUUCUAUCCAAGCGAGAUCACAGUGCCACUGUCUGCUGACGUCAUAGGCCACUGAGUGGCAGAGGUGUCUUCGAAGAACUUAGCUAUUAUUUGAAAUCUUAUUUGCUUAUAGGCAUUGCUUACGUUAUUCUUUGUUUUUAAAGAGAAAAAAAACGCUCCUCCCUAUAAUUGUUUUCAUCAGGGUAGAAUAGUGGAUAUUUUCCAUUAUUGGCCAACACUACAGUUUUAAAAAUUGCAAUUAAACGAUCGAUACAAAGAUAUUAUUUUUUCAUAUUCUAGGUAUGUUCUCAAAAUAAAUAGUGGAUCCAAUACCCAAUGGGUUAAUCAUUAUUCAUCUAUAACUAUAAAAGUAACCUUCAUAAGUAGAACAUGGUACAAGGAUGGCUAGAUCAACUGUACAUUUUCUUGAUAUGGCUUAUAUAUUGAUUUUCGCUAUCUCCUGUUUCUUUGAUCAGUAAAAUCGUUUUAAUGGAAAUACAUUUUCUUUCUUCUAUGAAACGGCAUCGUUAACUGAGCAUUGUCACUAGACUGUUUUAUGAAAUAAAAAUAAAAGAAACUUUCGGUUUAAUCGAAUAGAAAAUAAAUACCUAAUAUUCUAGUAAUGUAAUUUGCAGGAAAAAAAUGAUGAAGGCGAGAAUUUAAUAAUUUGAGCUGGGGUGGUGUGAAACUUUAAAUUAAAUUUGUACUAUCUUGCUCAUGUCUCUUUGUAAUAAGAAAUUUUUAUUGUUAAUUUUUUUAAUUAUGAUUUUUCACGUAAGCUGCUAUUUUCCUACCAUGUUUAACAGUUUUUUGUUGUACUACUUGCAUUGCUGUAUCACUUGAUUAUUAAAGGUUGUGAGUAAUAGACUCUUGGUUUUCCAAAAACAGUGUGAGAUUAGUAAGAUUAAAAAACAAUGCCCCUGUUUUUUUUUUUUUUUGUUUUUUUUUGCAAUGCAUUUUGUGAAAGUAUUAAAUUAGUAGUUUUUUUUAAUUUAGUUAACUUAGUUUCAAAAUAAUUCCGAUAUCCUCAUAGAAUUUACCGACUAACUAACUUGUGUUUCAAAAUUAUAUGUAAUAUUAUUAUAUUGUUCUAACUGUUUAGUUAAAUAACAAAAAAGAAAAACUGAUUUUCUAUACUACAAACCAACCAGGUUAAAUGACAAAGCAAUUUAGAUUGUGUGUUCAAGGAACAAGUGUCUUAAUGUAGUAAACAAAUAUAUUGUAACUGAAAAACUUUUAAUAUAAAUUUAUUACUAGAUCCUCUAUGAAAGAUGCAGUAAAAUGAUUUAAGUAAAUAAAAAUUUACUUAUCAGGUGCUAAUGACUGCCUAUCAUGCGUAUUCAUAGAAUCCUUUUCAAAAAUUAAAUAAAAAAAAGUGUUAAUAUUAUUGAAAUGAAAAUAAAAAUAAAUAUUGGAGAGAUUAAAGUGCAAAAAUCACGCAAAACCUAACGAGUCACUAUUGAGUAAGGCGAAAUGAGAGCACUUAAAACCUAUUGGAUGUCUGAGGGAAGCAAAGAUAAGUUGAAAGCCUAUUAUUGGAAGAUCCUUCAAAUUUCCUCAGGCAAUAAAACUGGUUUUGACGUUUUCAUUCCCUCAUCACUAGUGGUUCGACUGGUUUCGAUGACAUUUUCCCCUCUCAAAAAUAUUAAUUUGCGAACCCCCGAUCUGUAUAUAAUUUACCAUUGAUUAGUAGUUAGAAAUUUUUAAUGAUUUUUGAUGAUUUUGUAAUCUAUGCAAUUAAAUAAGAUUUUAUUUUCUUCUUCUAGAUAUGAAGUUUUGGCUUGGUUCCACAAAUACUUAUGUAGGUAUUGCACAUGGUUAUGAUUUCAACACAUUUUAAGAUCAUUAUAAUAAUUCUGUAUUUUAUGCCAGAUAAUAAAUUAUAUUAAUUGAA